UACAACGAAUCUUUUCGUUUUCAGUUUUUUAUGCUGACUUUCAUUCAAAGGAGUAUUACUACUUUAGAGGGAGGGGGUAUUGCGUCGUAUCAAAUCACAGGCAUAAAAAAAGCGCCCUGAGGCGCUUUUUUGUU
This 134-nucleotide small RNA is filed under the name Enterobacter cloacae. RNAcentral describes it as "Enterobacteria sRNA STnc130". It matches the Rfam family "Enterobacteria sRNA STnc130". The record is from RNAcentral. Lineage: Bacteria; Pseudomonadati; Pseudomonadota; Gammaproteobacteria; Enterobacterales; Enterobacteriaceae.